Molecule: ribosomal RNA, 508 nt
Filed under: Anguilla bicolor (Indonesian shortfin eel)
Lineage: Eukaryota; Metazoa; Chordata; Actinopteri; Anguilliformes; Anguillidae
Description: partial large subunit ribosomal RNA
Rfam family: Bacterial large subunit ribosomal RNA
Source: RNAcentral
GAAGGUAGCGUAAUCAUUUGUCUUUUAAAUAGAGACCUGUAUGAAUGGCAUAACGAGGGUUUAACUGUCUCCCUCCCCUAGUCAAUGAAAUUGAUCUGCCCGUGCAGAAGCGGACAUAAAUACAUAAGACGAGAAGACCCUAUGGAGCUUUAGACAAAAGAUCAAACAUGUAAAGAAACCAAACUAACCAAAAGGAACACAAAGGCCACAAAACCCGACGUAAAAUGAUCCAAAUGUCUUCGGUUGGGGCGACCAUGGGGGAAAGAAAAACCCCCACGAGGAACCAGGGGCAAUCCAUUAAGCCAAGAAAUACACCUCUAAGCAACAGAAAAUCUGACCAAAAAUGACCCAGGACACUAAUCCUGAUCAACGAACCAAGUUACCCUAGGGAUAACAGCGCAAUCCUUUCCCAGAGUCCAUAUCGACGAAAGGGUUUACGACCUCGAUGUUGGAUCAGGACAUCCUAAUGGUGCAGCCGCUAUUAAGGGUUCGUUUGUUCAACGAUUAA